This 692-nucleotide ribosomal RNA is filed under the name uncultured Lachnospiraceae bacterium. RNAcentral's name for it is "bacterial SSU rRNA". It matches the Rfam family "Bacterial small subunit ribosomal RNA", at positions 30 to 708 of the family's 1533-position model. The record is from RNAcentral. Lineage: Bacteria; Bacillati; Bacillota; Clostridia; Lachnospirales; Lachnospiraceae.
UGAACGCUGGCGGCGUGCUUAACACAUGCAAGUCGAACGGGGCCACCAUUUUUGAAGCGAUUAGCUUGCUAAGAGUGGAAAUGUUGGCGGCUUAGUGGCGGACGGGUGAGUAACGCGUGGGUAACCUGCCAUAUACAGGGGGAUAACACUUAGAAAUAGGUGCUAAUACCGCAUAAGCGCACGGGGCUGCAUGGCCCAGUGUGAAAAACUCCGGUGGUAUAAGAUGGACCCGCGUCUGAUUAGCUUGUUGGCGGGGUAACGGCCCACCAAGGCGACGAUCAGUAGCCGGCCUGAGAGGGUGGACGGCCACAUUGGGACUGAGACACGGCCCAAACUCCUACGGGAGGCAGCAGUGGGGAAUAUUGGACAAUGGGGGGAACCCUGAUCCAGCGACGCCGCGUGAGUGAAGAAGUAUUUCGGUAUGUAAAGCUCUAUCAGCAGGGAAGAAAGAAAUGACGGUACCUGACUAAGAAGCCCCGGCUAACUACGUGCCAGCAGCCGCGGUAAUACGUAGGGGGCAAGCGUUAUCCGGAUUUACUGGGUGUAAAGGGAGCGUAGACGGUUAUGCAAGUCUGGAGUGAAAGGCGGGGGCCCAACCCCCGGACUGCUUUGGAAACUGUGUAACUGGAGUGCAGGAGAGGUAAGUGGAAUUCCUAGUGUAGCGGUGAAAUGCGUAGAUAUUAGGAGGAACA